CAGUGAGUUUUAAGUCAUUUUGCACAUCUAAAUGAAGGCGGUCAAUCGUUCCUGAGCACCAGAAAUUGGAGGCGUCAAUUUCUUAGUAAAUAUAAAAGUCUAUAGUGGAAAGUAAGUAAGCCAGAUAAGACUUCUUCAUCAUCCUGUCCCAAUUUGGUGUUUCCCUUUCUGACGUUAUCAACCACAGUGACGUGAACCGAUAUAAGCAGCAGUAUUGAGAGUUUGCAGGAGAAUCGAGUUCUUCUGCUGAACCUGACAGAGCUGACUCAAUAGCUUCUUUAGAGGCAGACAUGAACACCUCUGCGUUUCAGUGCUCUGUAUUUAUUAGUGUGAUGAUGGUCGUGGUGGUGUAUUCAGCGUCAGUGCACAACUGUCCAUUAAACAAAAAACAGUGUGUGCUUUAUCUGCGCCACAUUAAGAAUGCAACUGAAGAUCUGUUAAAAGAGAACCUACACGGAAGGGUGCCAAGGGUUUAUAAAGAUACAUGUGCGGACAAAUUCUUCUGUUUGGCGGAGAAGGCUCUUUCUAACAUUACUGAGGCAAUGAAUCACUCUCAACACGGCAAGGUUGAAAAGCUACGGAGGGCCCUGCAUCAAUACAACAACAUGACAAACGACACCCACUGCACACUGGAAUACAAGAGUAGAUAUCAACUACAUGAAUUUCUUAAGAAUGUGAGCAAGUGCACAGACCGUGUCCUACAUCCUCCCAAGUAUAUAAGAUGAAGGGACCCCAUGAAGUAUUAUGCUCCUUGUCUAAGUUAUUUAUAAUAAUGUAAUAUUUAUUUUUUUAUAUUUAUUUUGCGUUUCUAUUGUAGAUGAAAUGCCUUUAAAAAAAUAAAUUGAAAUGUGACAAUGAAGGUGUUAUGCAAGCUUUUUUUAAAAUCUUCAGAUCAACCCACAGUAGGAUCUUUAAAUUAACAGGUAUAAUUUUGUAGGGAAGCUGGAUGCAAUGCAUUGCUUCGUGACAUCACUACACAACGAGAACCUGAGAUCAGACAUGAAUAAUUUAUUAAAUAAAAUCCAGAUGUUUGUUGGUGUAAACAUUUGACAUACACUAUAACAACAACAAAAAAAGCUCGCUUACAUCCACUAAAAACCAAAACAUUAAAAAAAAGGUCAUACAAGUGCAUAAGGGAUACAGAUACAUACAUUUAUGGUGCAUCACAACAAGUGUUGAAAAUAAAGUUGACUGAAGUGGAAGAAAUGGUGCAGACGUAAGAGCUAAACGGCAUGCAUGCCCUUAAUGCUUCUGACCUAUUAAAGAAAACAGAUUAGGAAGUUUUAUGCGCUUCAGUUGAAUUUAAAGCCUUUUCUUGCUUCUGCAAUAGAAUAAUUUGACUAACUAGAAUCCGAUUAGAAUGUAUUCAGCUUUUCAUUGAACAUAAAUAUGUUAAUUUAUGAGAAGCAAAACAGUCAAAGUUUGAUUUCUGAGAUAAAUGUGUUAACAGGACACUUGUGAAGGUGUUGCUGUUUGUAGGACAGCAUUGUAAUUUCAUUUUAAACAAUCUGACUCAAGUGCCUUGCAAAAGUCUCAACUCUCUUUGUACCAGUUCUCAUUUUGUCCCGAUAUAACAAAAACUUUCAAUUAUUUAUAGACAAUCCAAAACUGCUGAAUAUUAAAAAUGGUAAGGAAAUGAUACAUAGUUUCUAAAAAGUGUGGCGUGCAUUUGUUUUCAGCCCUUUUUAUUCUGAUAUCCCUAGAUAAAAUGCAACAUAAUUUCAGAAGUCACCACGGUAUAAAACAAAGGCCAUCUAUAUGUGACUUAAUCUCAGUAUAAAGGUGCUUUCUGAAGGAAGAAUGUUAACAAUUCAGUCUCAUGUAGCUCUGCAGGAGCUGCAAAGCUCCACAGCUCAGUUGGAAGACCCUGUUGUCAGAUCAACUACUAUUUGCACACUUCACAGAUCUGGUCUUUGAAUGCCACUGCUGAAAUAAAGCCCUGCUGCAGUUUGUUGCAAACCAAUUAGAGGAUCCAGCUAACAAAAAGAUACGGAGAGAGCUAUAUGGCCUCCCUGGAAAUUGCUAAUUUAUGUGAAAAACUAAUACUGCACAUCAUCUUAAACACACCAUUAACAAUGUUGCACAGGGUGAGUGGUGUCUGUCCAUACAAAGCCAGUAGAGACAUAACCCUGAAAGCUCUGAAUACAAAUGCACACCACACUUUCAGGUUUGUAUUUGUGAGGAAUGUUAGAAGCAAUGCGUCAUUUCCAUUACGCUUCCCAGUUAUGCACUUGUCUCUGUUGGUGUAUUACAUAAAAUCCAAACAACAUUCAUUGAAGUUUGUGGUUCCAAUGUGGCAAAAUGUGAAAAAGCAGAAGAGGCCUGAAUAGUUGCAAGGCACUGCUUCAAGCAGAUUGUCUUUCGUUGUGUCCUAUUUUCAAGUGGUUGUUCUCCUAAUAAAGGUGCCGCCUGAUCACAUUUAAAACCUUACCGUCUUAUGCAGUGUGUGAUCAAAAUCUAUUACUGUUCGACCAUAAGCAGGACUAAAUACUUCUUUUACGUUACAUCAAAGCUGAAGUCAAGGUAAAGCUGUAGUGAAAUGUU
This is a long non-coding RNA of Xiphophorus maculatus (southern platyfish), 2544 nucleotides long. RefSeq lists it as uncharacterized. The record is from RefSeq and is a predicted model, not a curated record. The transcript has 4 exons. NCBI's taxonomy places the organism in Eukaryota, Metazoa, Chordata, Actinopteri, Cyprinodontiformes, Poeciliidae.